GCUGCUGCUCCUGCAGAGAACUCUGCCUGCUUCCUCCUUCCUUCCUUCCUUGCUUGGGGCCUACUGGAGUUCAGGCUUCAGGGAGGCCUACUCGGAGGCCUCUCUGGAAGCCCCGCCCACCCGCCAAUCAGCUGAGAGGCGGGGAGAGAAGAGCUCUGCAGUUUGCAGGCCUUGCCGAUCCUAGGCCUCGCCGAUCAGCCAGAGCUGGAGACAAGUGGCUGAGGGGCCCUGGGGCUGGGCAGGUGGGAAGUGGGGUGGGGGUGGCAGGAACUGGCGUGGCACCCCCACCUCAGGGGCACCUAGGGCACUGCCCCGCCUGCUCCCCCAGUUCCGCCUAUGCAGACACACAUAUUGCCAGUGAUGAGUCAGUGGUCUGCUGUCACCACAUGUCUGAGAGCCUUGUUACACAGGCUCUCAGCAAAGCUGUGGUGGCCCUGCCAGUCUGAGAUGGAGUUUUCUUUAUUUUAGCAUGCAUGCAUGAAGAGAAGAAGACAGCUCAGUAGAACUGCUCUACUAAGUGAAAUCACAGAAAGCUUGGAGGAGCUAAUUCACCAGUGGUUCCUGAUGUAGUGAACAAUUAUCUGCAACUCAUUUGAUUCAUAGGUAUGUACAUCUGUCAUUUAAACUGCGAAGCCAGGAGGAAGCCAGGUUCACACCACAGCUGAAGAGUCUGCUGCAAGAUCUCCUUUUAUAUUAUGUCUCUCUUCACGAAAAGAGUGGUUGGAAAUGUGACUUUGGAAAUUUAUCGAUCUAACAGAUUCUG
Long non-coding RNA from Hemicordylus capensis (graceful crag lizard), 763 nucleotides. RefSeq lists it as uncharacterized. NCBI's taxonomy places the organism in Eukaryota, Metazoa, Chordata, Lepidosauria, Squamata, Cordylidae. The transcript is spliced from 3 exons. The record is from RefSeq and is a predicted model, not a curated record.